AUGGGAAACUCUUGCCCCUGCUUAACAUAUCUAAAAUCUAGUCAAAUUCAUCAACAACAUAUUUUUUACAACAACAAUGCAUUCAAUAAUCUGACCUAUCUAUAUGCACACUUUGAGGAACAAAUAGGAGAUAUAUGUGCUUCUAUUGCUUCUAAAUUAUAUACAUGUAUUUUUAGUUAUUCAACAUGCUUCAAGCUUUUUCUCUUCGAUUUGGUGCAGGAGGAUGCCCGAGCUGACCAGGAGGACACCCUUCUGCACCUUGGCCACCACACAAGGUUAACACCUGGAGAGGCUCGAGCUAUGAGCAACGAGCUAUUGCCGCCGGAUGCUCCAGCGGCGAAACCUCCGUCGAUUCCCUCCACGGCCACUACCACUACCCUACCUACCGCCGCCGACGGAACCACCACCAUAUCCUCGCUCGGCCAAGACCAGCUCCUUGAGAUCUUCCUCCUCUUGCCGAGCCUGUCGGCCCUCGUCCGCGCCACGCUCACUUGCCGCUCGUGGCUCGGCGCUGUCCGCUCCUUCCGCAACCUCUUCCGUGCCCUCCACCCGGCGCCCCUCAUCGGGAUCUUCCUCGAUGUCGACAAAGGCAAUGUCAGCUUGUUCGCCCCCUUCAGCCACUCAGAUCCCGGCGUCAAUAAGGACAUUACACUGGCAGAUUAG
RNAcentral lists this ribosomal RNA (663 nucleotides) under Triticum aestivum (bread wheat). RNAcentral's name for it is "partial small subunit ribosomal RNA". The record is from RNAcentral. Lineage: Eukaryota; Viridiplantae; Streptophyta; Magnoliopsida; Poales; Poaceae.